This 758-nucleotide long non-coding RNA is filed under the name Oryctolagus cuniculus (rabbit). RNAcentral's name for it is "lncRNA (ENSOCUG00000034115.1)". The record is from RNAcentral. Lineage: Eukaryota; Metazoa; Chordata; Mammalia; Lagomorpha; Leporidae.
CCUCUGUGCUUUGAAUACAUGAGGGUGCUCACAGCUGAACUGAUCGCCAUGGUUACAGGCAAUCUGUGUGUUACAUCUCCUGGAAGCAAAAAAGAGGGUAGUUUAAGGAUGAAGUACAAACUUAACACGGACACUCCACACUGUAGUCUCGACCUGACUUUCAGUUCAUCUCUCUCCUUCUUCCUGGGCAGUCAACUUCUGCAAACCUAAACUGAACAAUGCCAUUCCUGAAGCUUGCUGUGCUUUUUCAUGUGCAGACGCUGUUCCCUUUGUCUGGAAGCCGCUUCCCAUGGCUGCUUAGCACAAGGCAUGUGCUGGUGAUUCUCUGUUGUCUCAGCGAACACUUACUUUAUUCAUCUGUCCAUUUACUCAACCUCCACACAUCCUUGAAGACCCAGUUGUACAGUUCGGGUCCCUGGCGGGAGUUGAGACAGAAACUUUGGGCUCCUCUGGCCCUCCUGAAACUUCUAAGUGAAGCCACAGAAAAUUCCAAAAGAUUUUUAUUUUGGGGGCUGGUGCUGUGGCGCAGAGUGUUAAUGCCCUGGUCUGAAGUGCCAGCAUCCCAUAUGGGCACUGGUUCGAGACCCGGCUGCUCCACUUGUGAUCCAGCUCUCUGCUAUGGCCUGGGAAAGCAGUGGAGGAUGGCCCAAGUCCUUGGGCCCCUGAACCAGUAUGGGAGACCUGCUAGAAGCUCCUGGCUCCUGGCUCCUGGCUUCGGAUUGGCACAGCUCUGGCUGUUGUGGUCAAUUGGAGAGUGA